This is a long non-coding RNA of Gorilla gorilla gorilla (western lowland gorilla), 508 nucleotides long. RefSeq lists it as uncharacterized. The record is from RefSeq and is a predicted model, not a curated record. Lineage: Eukaryota; Metazoa; Chordata; Mammalia; Primates; Hominidae. The transcript has 4 exons.
CGCAACGAUUAGAACUGAACCCCAAUAAGCUACCCAAGAGAAACAGUGAGCUUUUUAAGGGGCUCAGAAGUCAGAGAAAAGAAUCAGAACACAGGGAAUACAUGUUCUGGAACAAGAGGACACAAACACCAGCUUAGCAACUGCAGCAAGUACAAUGAACCAGCCAGACCACCGGACAAGGUCAGAGUGAUGUGCAGAACAGAGGAGGAAGAUGCAAGCCCCGAGGCUUGGCACCCCAGCUGCCUAAGCCAAGUCCUCAGGCAGUGAGGGAGAUGGAGAGCCAACAUGACAGAUACCCAGACUUCAGAGAGGGAAAACAGCAUGGUCAAAAUGACAACUGAGAAUACGGUGGCCAGCCUUGGUCAGAAUAGUGCUGACCUGUGCAGAGGAUAAACAUCAUCAUCAUAAGAAGCAGUAAUCCAAGAAGGUUUGCAACUGGCUCAAAAUGCUACCUGAAACCAAGAAUGGGUACUGUAAUGAAAGAAUUGGAAGCCACCUUGACCCAGAG